AUCUCUACGCAUUUCACCGCUACACCUGGAAUUCUACCCCCCUCUACAAGACUCCAGCCUGCCAGUUUCGAAUGCAGUUCCCAGGUUGAGCCCGGGGAUUUCACAUCCGACUUGACAGACCGCCUGCGUGCGCUUUACGCCCAGUAAUUCCGAUUAACGCUUGCACCCUCCGUAUUACCGCGGCUGCUGGCACGGAGUUAGCCGGUGCUUCUUCUGCGGGUAACGUCAAUNAACAAGGUUAUUAACCUUANUNCCUUCCUCCCCGCUGAAAGUACUUUACAACCCGAAGGCCUUCUUCAUACACGCGGCAUGGCUGCAUCAGGCUUGCGCCCAUUGUGCAAUAUUCCCCACUGCUGCCUCCCGUAGGAGUCUGGACCGUGUCUCAGUUCCAGUGUGGCUGGUCAUCCUCUCAGACCAGCUAGGGAUCGUCGCCUAGGUGAGCCGUUACCCCACCUACUAGCUAAUCCCAUCUGGGCACAUCUGAUGGCAAGAGGCCCGAAGGUCCCCCUCUUUGGUCUUGCGACGUUAUGCGGUAUUAGCUACCGUUUCCAGUAGUUAUCCCCCUCCAUCAGGCAGUUUCCCAGACAUUACUCACCCGUCCGCCACUCGUCACCCGAGAGCAAGCUCUCUGUGCUACCGUUCGACUUGCAUGUGUUAGGCCUGCCGCCAGCGUUCAAUCUGAGCCANGAUCAAACU
Molecule: ribosomal RNA, 696 nt
Filed under: Klebsiella oxytoca
Lineage: Bacteria; Pseudomonadati; Pseudomonadota; Gammaproteobacteria; Enterobacterales; Enterobacteriaceae
Description: 16S ribosomal RNA
Source: RNAcentral